Molecule: ribosomal RNA, 467 nt
Filed under: uncultured bacterium
Lineage: Bacteria
Description: partial 16S ribosomal RNA
Rfam family: Bacterial small subunit ribosomal RNA
Source: RNAcentral
GACGAACGCUGGCGGCGUGCUUAACACAUGCAAGUCGAACGGAAAGGCCCUGCUUUUGUGGGGUGCUCGAGUGGCGAACGGGUGAGUAACACGUGAGUAACCUGCCCUUGACUUUGGGAUAACUUCAGGAAACUGGGGCUAAUACCGGAUAGGAGCUCCUGCUGCAUGGUGGGGGUUGGAAAGUUUCGGCGGUUGGGGAUGGACUCGCGGCUUAUCAGCUUGUUGGUGGGGUAGUGGCUUACCAAGGCUUUGACGGGUAGCCGGCCUGAGAGGGUGACCGGCCACAUGGGGACUGAGAUACGGCCCAGACUCCUACGGGAGGCAGCAGUGGGGAAUAUUGCACAAUGGGCGGAAGCCGGAUGCAGCAACGCCGCGUGCGGGAUGACGGCCUUCGGGUUGUAAACCGCUUUCGCCUGUGACGAAGCGUGAGUGACGGUAAUGGGUAAAGAAACACCGGCUAACUACGG